RNAcentral lists this ribosomal RNA (1542 nucleotides) under Salmonella enterica subsp. enterica serovar Infantis. Its description in RNAcentral is "bacterial SSU rRNA". It matches the Rfam family "Bacterial small subunit ribosomal RNA". Lineage: Bacteria; Pseudomonadati; Pseudomonadota; Gammaproteobacteria; Enterobacterales; Enterobacteriaceae. The record is from RNAcentral. RNAcentral also lists the same sequence under 35 other names.
AAAUUGAAGAGUUUGAUCAUGGCUCAGAUUGAACGCUGGCGGCAGGCCUAACACAUGCAAGUCGAACGGUAACAGGAAGCAGCUUGCUGCUUUGCUGACGAGUGGCGGACGGGUGAGUAAUGUCUGGGAAACUGCCUGAUGGAGGGGGAUAACUACUGGAAACGGUGGCUAAUACCGCAUAACGUCGCAAGACCAAAGAGGGGGACCUUCGGGCCUCUUGCCAUCAGAUGUGCCCAGAUGGGAUUAGCUAGUUGGUGAGGUAACGGCUCACCAAGGCGACGAUCCCUAGCUGGUCUGAGAGGAUGACCAGCCACACUGGAACUGAGACACGGUCCAGACUCCUACGGGAGGCAGCAGUGGGGAAUAUUGCACAAUGGGCGCAAGCCUGAUGCAGCCAUGCCGCGUGUAUGAAGAAGGCCUUCGGGUUGUAAAGUACUUUCAGCGGGGAGGAAGGUGUUGUGGUUAAUAACCGCAGCAAUUGACGUUACCCGCAGAAGAAGCACCGGCUAACUCCGUGCCAGCAGCCGCGGUAAUACGGAGGGUGCAAGCGUUAAUCGGAAUUACUGGGCGUAAAGCGCACGCAGGCGGUCUGUCAAGUCGGAUGUGAAAUCCCCGGGCUCAACCUGGGAACUGCAUUCGAAACUGGCAGGCUUGAGUCUUGUAGAGGGGGGUAGAAUUCCAGGUGUAGCGGUGAAAUGCGUAGAGAUCUGGAGGAAUACCGGUGGCGAAGGCGGCCCCCUGGACAAAGACUGACGCUCAGGUGCGAAAGCGUGGGGAGCAAACAGGAUUAGAUACCCUGGUAGUCCACGCCGUAAACGAUGUCUACUUGGAGGUUGUGCCCUUGAGGCGUGGCUUCCGGAGCUAACGCGUUAAGUAGACCGCCUGGGGAGUACGGCCGCAAGGUUAAAACUCAAAUGAAUUGACGGGGGCCCGCACAAGCGGUGGAGCAUGUGGUUUAAUUCGAUGCAACGCGAAGAACCUUACCUGGUCUUGACAUCCACAGAACUUUCCAGAGAUGGAUUGGUGCCUUCGGGAACUGUGAGACAGGUGCUGCAUGGCUGUCGUCAGCUCGUGUUGUGAAAUGUUGGGUUAAGUCCCGCAACGAGCGCAACCCUUAUCCUUUGUUGCCAGCGGUUAGGCCGGGAACUCAAAGGAGACUGCCAGUGAUAAACUGGAGGAAGGUGGGGAUGACGUCAAGUCAUCAUGGCCCUUACGACCAGGGCUACACACGUGCUACAAUGGCGCAUACAAAGAGAAGCGACCUCGCGAGAGCAAGCGGACCUCAUAAAGUGCGUCGUAGUCCGGAUUGGAGUCUGCAACUCGACUCCAUGAAGUCGGAAUCGCUAGUAAUCGUGGAUCAGAAUGCCACGGUGAAUACGUUCCCGGGCCUUGUACACACCGCCCGUCACACCAUGGGAGUGGGUUGCAAAAGAAGUAGGUAGCUUAACCUUCGGGAGGGCGCUUACCACUUUGUGAUUCAUGACUGGGGUGAAGUCGUAACAAGGUAACCGUAGGGGAACCUGCGGUUGGAUCACCUCCUUA